RNAcentral lists this transfer-messenger RNA (348 nucleotides) under Clostridia. RNAcentral describes it as "JACMMQ01 sp014378955 Standard tmRNA". It matches the Rfam family "transfer-messenger RNA". Rfam says of the family: Bacterial tmRNA, also known as 10Sa RNA or SsrA, is named for its dual tRNA and mRNA-like properties. The record is from RNAcentral. RNAcentral also lists the same sequence under 2 other names. Lineage: Bacteria; Bacillati; Bacillota.
GGGGGCGUACUGGUUUCGACGGGGAUGUUGAAGCGUGAAGAGCGAGUAGUGGCCCCGAGCCACUCUAAAAUCGGGAAAAAUAUAAAUUAAACAACACUAAUUCAGAAUUAGUAGCUGCCUAAUUAGGUAGCCGUCUUUCCACGGAGCACCGCGGCUGUGGCAAAGGCGUCGAUUAGCGGUGAACGUGACUUGGAUAAGCUUUGCCCCAAGCAUGACAAAUGAAGCUACUAAAACCCUAAGCCGGCAAACGGGCGUAGGGCGGAGGGAAUGUUAAACCGUAUGCUGCACUCGGAGAAGCUCACGUGAAUGUGUUUUCGGACAGGGGUUCGACUCCCCUCGCCUCCACCA